This is an RNA transcript of Arvicola amphibius (Eurasian water vole), 1966 nucleotides long. It is a transcript of the gene named Z-DNA binding protein 1, with no coding region annotated. NCBI's taxonomy places the organism in Eukaryota, Metazoa, Chordata, Mammalia, Rodentia, Cricetidae. The transcript has 9 exons. The record is from RefSeq and is a predicted model, not a curated record.
GGGUACUUGUUUCCGGGGUGGAAACAGAUGGUGUCUCGCAGGUCUGAGAAGCCAUUCUUCUCCUAUAGUCUCAGUCACAGACCUGGCCACAGUACGGGAGCCGGUCACCCCAGCCCUAAAGGUGCCCUGAGGUUGCUGUGACCAUGGCAGAAGCUGCUGCUGACCUGAGCACAGGAAACAAUCUGGAGCAAAAGAUCCUACAGGCACUGAAUGAAAUCGGUGGCUCUGUGAAGAUUGGCCAGCUGGUAAAGAAGUGCCAAGCGCCCAAGAAAACAAUCAACUCAAUCCUUUACCGCCUGAAGAAGGAGGGCAAAGUAUCCUCCCCAGCCCCUACAACCUGGUGCUUAGGCGGGAGCUCUUCCGCAGAUGAGGCUCCUGCAGUCCCUGAGGAUCUCACCGCUCAGCCAAGCCUCGAUGAUAGAAUUUUCAGAUUCCUGGAGGCCAACGGACCUUGCAGGGCCCUGCAUAUUGCCAAGGCUCUGGGCAUGAAUACGGCCAAAGAGGUGAACCCAGACCUGUACAGAAUGAGAAGCAGUCACCUUCUGAGCUAUGACGGGCAGGCGUGGAUGAUCUAUGACUCAAGUCGGAAAGGUCAAGGGCUGGCUCAUUCUGAAAUGAGACAAGAGCACGCUGCAAUCAUUUACCAGCAGAAUCCCAUCAACAUGAUCUGCCAACAAGGAGCCAACAACCAUAUCUCCAUCUCUGAGUCAGAAGCCAUCCAGAUCGGGCAUGGGAACACCAUGCUAAGGCAGAUAGCCUGUGCUCAGAGAGGUCCCAGCCCCCAUCAUCCUCUCCUGCUACCCGCUCCAGAUGACCCCUCUUCUCAGAACACCCCACCUGGUGCCUGGGGAGCUCAGCACAUCCACAUGGAGAAGUCCUUGCUCCGCCGUGUGCAGCUGGGCCAUGGCAAUGAGAUGAGCCUCCCGAGGGACCCAGUGCAGCACCCUGCGGAGGAACACCCUGCUGGCAGCUUUACUGGCAGUCCCCCAGUCUCAGCUACCUCUGGUGACGCAGGAACUUCUUUCUACAUGCAAACACCCGAGCCAGGCCCUCACCCUGAGGGGGACACUGCCCAGAAAGUCCACAUCAGAUCCUCCUGGCUGGAGGAUGCCACCAUUGGCAACAGCAACAAGAUGACCAUCCGCACUGCUUCACAGGGUGGAGUUGGGGAGUCUGGAAACAGCGAGGAGCCAAAGGAAGAGACAGACUCGAGUUCUAAAGCCUCACCGUGUGGAAGCUGCUCCCGUGCCCCCAGCAGCUCCACGCUCCUCACUCCUAAGCUGAGGACCAUGACUCUGGGAGACAGCAGCCCCCAGACCACAGAACCUGCGCUUAGGGAGGACGGAGCCUCUGAUACCGGGGACUGUCGGACUCAGGAAUGAGUGGCAGGAUCCCAAAGGCCCUGAGAUCAUCCACACACCAGUCUCUAGAAGGAUUUGCUGUCUGAUGACAUCAUUGGGACGGAGUAGAGACUUUGGGAGAAUGAAGGAAAGGAGACAGUGAAGACAUCAGGGUCUCAUGUAGUCCAGACUGGCUUUGAGUCACUAUGUAGCCAAGGAUGACCCUGAACUUCUGAUCUGCUGACCUCCACUUCCUGAGAGCAGGCCAGAAAGCAAUGGAGUCAUGGGACCCUGGGUUGACACCUCUGCCACUAUGAGCCAAGCCAGCCUUUCCUGCCUCAAGAUCAAUCAUAUGAGCCAGCUCUACCAGAAGAGACAAGCCAACACAGCACACAGAUAGUUGCACAUCCCUGUUGACUGUGCACUUUCUGCAGCAGCUGAGAAAUGGUGGAUUAAGGAAAUUCGGAGUAUGCAUACAGCCACAUAAAAUAAUGAGGUUGUUUCAAAUGCUGGAAAGUGGAUGCAACCAGAGACGACCAUGCUAAGUGAAUGAAGCCAUCUCAUGUAAUUGGAAGUUUGUGUGUUCCACAGCCACUCUCAAAUAAACACUCAGAGGUUUAUAUUAA